This 783-nucleotide ribosomal RNA is filed under the name uncultured bacterium. RNAcentral describes it as "bacterial SSU rRNA". It matches the Rfam family "Bacterial small subunit ribosomal RNA", at positions 8 to 796 of the family's 1533-position model. The record is from RNAcentral.
AGAGUUUGAUCCUGGCUCAGAACGAACGCUGGCGGCAGGCCUAACACAUGCAAGUCGAACGGUAAGGCCCUUCGGGGUACACGAGUGGCGAACGGGUGAGUAGCACGUGGGUAAUCUGCCCUGCACAUCGGGAUAAGCCUGGGAAACUGGGUCUAAUACCGAAUAGGACCACAGGACACAUGUCCUGUGGUGGAAAGCUUUUGCGGUGUGGGAUGGGCCCGCGGCCUAUCAGCUUGUUGGUGGGGUGAUGGCCUACCAAGGCGACGACGGGUAGCCGGCCUGAGAGGGUGUCCGGCCACACUGGGACUGAGAUACGGCCCAGACUCCUACGGGAGGCAGCAGUGGGGAAUAUUGCACAAUGGGCGAAAGCCUGAUGCAGCGACGCCGCGUGGGGGAUGACGGCCUUCGGGUUGUAAACCUCUUUCACCAUCGACGAAGGUCCGGGUUUUCUCGGGCUGACGGUAGGUGGAGAAGAAGCACCGGCCAACUACGUGCCAGCAGCCGCGGUAAUACGUAGGGUGCGAGCGUUGUCCGGAAUUACUGGGCGUAAAGAGCUCGUAGGUGGUUUGUCGCGUUGUUCGUGAAAUCUCACGGCUUAACUGUGAGCGUGCGGGCGAUACGGGCAGACUUGAGUACUGCAGGGGAGACUGGAAUUCCUGGUGUAGCGGUGGAAUGCGCAGAUAUCAGGAGGAACACCGGUGGCGAAGGCGGGUCUCUGGGCAGUAACUGACGCUGAGGAGCGAAAGCGUGGGGAGCAAACAGGAUUAGAUACCCUGGUAGUCC